GCUCAGGAUGAACGCUGGCGGCGUGCCUAAUACAUGCAAGUCGAGCGAACGGAUAAGGAGCUUGCUCCUUUGAAGUUAGCGGCGGACGGGUGAGUAACACGUGGGUAACCUACCUAUAAGACUGGAAUAACUUCGGGAAACCGGAGCUAAUGCCGGAUAACAUAUAGAACCGCAUGGUUCUAUAGUGAAAGAUGGUUUUGCUAUCACUUAUAGAUGGACCCGCGCCGUAUUAGCUAGUUGGUAAGGUAAUGGCUUACCAAGGCGACGAUACGUAGCCGACCUGAGAGGGUGAUCGGCCACACUGGAACUGAGACACGGUCCAGACUCCUACGGGAGGCAGCAGUAGGGAAUCUUCCGCAAUGGGCGAAAGCCUGACGGAGCAACGCCGCGUGAGUGAUGAAGGUUUUCGGAUCGUAAAACUCUGUUAUUAGGGAAGAACAAAUGCGUAAGUAACUGUGCGCAUCUUGACGGUACCUAAUCAGAAAGCCACGGCUAACUACGUGCCAGCAGCCGCGGUAAUACGUAGGUGGCAAGCGUUAUCCGGAAUUAUUGGGCGUAAAGCGCGCGUAGGCGGUUUCUUAAGUCUGAUGUGAAAGCCCACGGCUCAACCGUGGAGGGUCAUUGGAAACUGGGAAACUUGAGUGCAGAAGAGGAAAGUGGAAUUCCAUGUGUAGCGGUGAAAUGCGCAGAGAUAUGGAGGAACACCAGUGGCGAAGGCGACUUUCUGGUCUGUAACUGACGCUGAUGUGCGAAAG
RNAcentral lists this ribosomal RNA (755 nucleotides) under uncultured bacterium. RNAcentral describes it as "bacterial SSU rRNA". It matches the Rfam family "Bacterial small subunit ribosomal RNA", at positions 22 to 759 of the family's 1533-position model. The record is from RNAcentral.